Molecule: ribosomal RNA, 1551 nt
Filed under: Triticum aestivum (bread wheat)
Lineage: Eukaryota; Viridiplantae; Streptophyta; Magnoliopsida; Poales; Poaceae
Description: partial small subunit ribosomal RNA
Source: RNAcentral
AUGCACUCAAAUGAGGCUUUGGACAUGCUGCUCCACCGGAUGCCCGAACUGGACUGUGCGCCUGAUGUCUUCUCGUUCAACAUAGUAAUCAACGGCUGCUUUAGAGAAGGUGAAGUAGACAAAGCAUGCAAUCUCUUCCAUGAGAUGCCCCAACUGGGAGUUCAACCUGAUGUGGUGACCUACAACUCAAUUAUCAUCGCACUAAGCAGGGCCGGGGCAAUGGGUAAGGCAGAAGUGGUCCUUCGGCAAAUGGUUGAUAAAGGCAUUGGACCCGAUGUCAUGACAUAUAACAGUCUGAUCCAUGGAUAUUCUACUUUGGGUCAGUGGAAGGCAGCAGUUAGGGUAUUCAAAGAGAUGGUAAGUGUUGGUGUUCUACCAAAUGCUGUCACGUUGAACUCAUUUAUGGAUUCACUUUGCAAGCAUAGAAGGACAAAGGAAGCUAGAGAUAUUUUUGACUCCAUGGCUGCAAAGGGCCACAAACCUAAUAUUGCCUCCUACUCUACUAUGCUUAAUGGGUAUGCGAAACAAGGAUGCUUCGAUGAUAUGACUGGUCUCUUCAAUUCCAUGGUACAGAAUGAUAUUGUACCUAACAACCAUGUUUUCAACAUACUGAUCAGAGCAUAUUCUACACGUGGACUGAUGGACGAGGCUAUGCACAUGUUCGAAGUAAUGAAGCAACAAGGAGUAAACCCAGAUGUAGUUGACUAUCUAGUAGUAAUAGAUUCACUUUGCAAAAUGGGCAGGAUGGAUGCUGCUAUGGACAAAUUUAAUCAGAUGGUCAAUCAAGGAGUUUCACCUGACAUAGUUGUUUACCAAUGCCUGGUUCUGGGUUCUUGCUCUAAUGGUGAUUUUGUGAAAGCCAAAGAAUUGAUUUCUGAAGCAGUUAAUCGAGGUCUGUGUUCUAACAGUGUGUUCUUCUAUCCUGUAAUAAACAACCUGAGCAAAGAAGGAAAUGUAAAGGAUGCACAAGAUAUGUUUGACUUCAUUGUAGGUAUUGGUCAUCAGCCUGAUGUUAUUAUGUACAAUUCACUGAUGGAUGGAUAUUGCCUUGUUGGCAAGGUGGAGGAAGCAAUGACAGUGCUUGAUGCUAUGAAGUCCGCUGGCCUCCAACCUGAUGCUAUUACGUAUGCUAUACUUCUUAAUGGCUACUGUAAAAUUGGAAGGAUCGACGAUGGAUUGAGUCUUUUUAGGGAAAUCUCACUCAGCAGGGUUAAGCCCACGACUAUUAUGUACAACAUUAUACUUGAUGGGCUGUUUUGCUGUGGGAGAACAGUUUUUGCAAAGGAAGAAUUCGAUACAAUGAUUGAAAGUGGCAUACCGGUGGGCAUUGACACAUGCACCAUAGUUCUUAGUGGACUUUGCAAAAAUAAUUGCACUGAUGAAGCAAUAGAGCUGUUCAAGAAGUUAUGUGCAAUGAAUGUGAAGUUUGAUGUCAUAAUUCUCACUACCAUGAUUUCUGCAAUGUUUAAGACUAGGAGAAUUGAAGAAGCCAAGGAUUUGUUUGCUACUAUAUCAACCAUAGGGUUGGUGCCUUCUGUUGUGACUUACAGU